Molecule: long non-coding RNA, 299 nt
Organism: Cyanistes caeruleus (blue tit)
Lineage: Eukaryota; Metazoa; Chordata; Aves; Passeriformes; Paridae
Source: RefSeq, a predicted model, not a curated record
UGUGCUGCCUGUCAGCUGAUGGAGGGAUGGCCCCAGCAGUUAUCUGGAGAUUACACAAUCUGGCUCUGUCUGAAAGGACAGUUUGGUUUGGUUGGUGCACUUCUGGAUGAGUGUGAGCUGGGAGCUGGCAGGCAGCACUUUGGCAGUUUUACCCCAGAGGUGGACUGGACCCACUCUGCUCCCACAGUUCAUUACCAGAAUUUUCUGCACUUCAGUGCAAAUGACAUCGUGUCUGGUUAUUACCUUUAAAGGCCUGGAUGCUGCUUUAGAAACAUCAAUUUAAUUUUUAUCCUUCAGGA